GGGGGAUAUUGCACAAUGGAGGAAACUCUGAUGCAGCAACGCCGCGUGAGGGAAGAAGGUCUUCGGAUUGUAAACCUUUGUCCUUGGUGACGAUAAUGACGGUAGCCAAGGAGGAAGCUCCGGCUAACUACGUGCCAGCAGCCGCGGUAAUACGUAGGGAGCAAGCGUUGUCCGGAUUUACUGGGUGUAAAGGGUGCGUAGGCGGCUCUGCAAGUCAGGCGUGAAAUACAUGGGCUUAACCCAUGGACUGCGUUUGAAACUGUGGAGCUUGAGUGGAGUAGAGGUAGGCGGAAUUCCCGGUGUAGCGGUGAAAUGCGUAGAGAUCGGGAGGAACACCAGUGGCGAAGGCGGCCUACUGGGCUUUAACUGACGCUGAGGCACGAAAGCAUGGGUAGCAAAC
RNAcentral lists this ribosomal RNA (400 nucleotides) under uncultured bacterium. Its description in RNAcentral is "bacterial SSU rRNA". It matches the Rfam family "Bacterial small subunit ribosomal RNA", at positions 356 to 773 of the family's 1533-position model. The record is from RNAcentral.